Molecule: ribosomal RNA, 253 nt
Filed under: uncultured bacterium
Lineage: Bacteria
Description: partial 16S ribosomal RNA
Rfam family: Bacterial small subunit ribosomal RNA
Source: RNAcentral
UACGUAGGCAGCGAGCGUUGUUCGGAGUUACUGGGCGUAAAGGGUGUGUAGGCGGUUUUCUAAGUUUGGUGUGAAAUCUCCCGGCUUAACCGGGAGGGUGCGCCGAAAACUGGGAGACUAGAGUGCGGGAUGGGAGAGUAGAAUUCCUGGUGUAGCGGUGAAAUGCGUAGAUAUCAGGAAGAACACCCGUGGCGAAGGCGGCUCUCUGGGACGGUACUGACGCUGAGACGCGAAAGCGUGGGGAGCGAACAGG